This 416-nucleotide ribosomal RNA is filed under the name Leucodecton compunctellum. RNAcentral's name for it is "SSU rRNA". It matches the Rfam family "Bacterial small subunit ribosomal RNA", at positions 350 to 759 of the family's 1533-position model. The record is from RNAcentral. Lineage: Eukaryota; Fungi; Ascomycota; Lecanoromycetes; Ostropales; Graphidaceae.
UGCAGUGAGGAAUAUUGGUCAAUGGCCUAACGGCUGAACCAGCAACUUGGAGGAAUGUAUAGGGAAAGCUGGUAAAAAGGUGAUUACCUAGUUAUAUGAAAUCCUAAGUAAUAUAAUAUUAACAAAGUUAAAUAAAGUUCUAAGUAAGUAUUGAUUAUGACAGUAUUUGCUUAUGUCUUGACCAAGUCACGUGCCAGCAGUCGCGGUAAUACGUGGAAGAUUAGUGUUAUUCAUAUUUAAAAGGUUUAAAGGGUACCUAGACGGUUAAUUAAACACAUACAUGUAUUAAUUAACUAGAGUUUAAUGUAAGAAAGAUAGAGUACGGUGAGUGUAGAGAUAUAAUUUUAUGAUACCACUUAGGAACUGGUAAGGCGAAGGCAACUUUCUAUGUAAAAACUGACGUUGAAGGACGAAGG